GUGGUUUUUUAGCUUCAAAUCAGGCAGAAAUUUGGAGCUCUGACUUUAUGGGAUGACUUUCUCUAGGACAGAUAAUGAAACUCAGAUAAGGUUCUCCAGCUGCAUGAAAUACAAAGCCAGCAAGCAAGAUAUACACUGAUGGGUAGAGGAGGUAUGAAUCAAACCAUGAGUGUUGUGGAUACCUGGUAACACUUCAGAAGGUGGAAGAUCAAUGGAAAGAUAAACUUUGAUUGUGACAGGCUUAGGAUCCAGCCCUAUGUACAUGAUUGGUUUUAUUACCCAAUUAGUCUACUCCUCCUCUUUGAAAAGCAUGACAUCCCAGACAUAGAUUUAGUUUAAAGAAAUAAAAACCAUGAUAAAAUCUCAAAACUCAG
Molecule: long non-coding RNA, 374 nt
Organism: Lonchura striata (white-rumped munia)
Lineage: Eukaryota; Metazoa; Chordata; Aves; Passeriformes; Estrildidae
Source: RefSeq, a predicted model, not a curated record